GGUUCAUAAGGCAAAGUGAUAAACCUGGUAAUGAACCAUUCCUGAGUGACAUGUCCCCAGGACUGGAUGGAUACACAGCUGAGUUCUAUAAGACCUUUAAAGAAGAACUCAUAUCAAUACUCUUCAACUUAUUUCAGAUUUUUCCUGGGAAGAGACUGGGCCUGUCUGAUUGCUGCUGUGAAAACUGGAGUCUCCUCUAACAUCUCAUAAGCACCUCACUCUGGAAAGAGAUGACUAUAGGUGGGAACCAAGACUGCAAUUUCAGUGGGAUGCUGAGCGACAGGCUGGAUGUGGACAAUGGAACUCUCAAAUCUUCAAUUUAUUUUGUCUGGCUAAUUUGUACGGCACUGCUCCAAGUGUAGAUGUCUUCCCCACACUCUCUGUAUGAGAAGAAAGAUGGUCCAAAUUUAGGUAUCCACGCUAGAAGAGACAGUGCAGCUCAUCAGUGCUCUCACAAUCAAACCUAAGAGCAACAGGCCUCCAGAGACUGCAGACAAAGAGACAGCAUCUCACUAAGUUCCUUAGGGAAGAAUGGAUAAUGUUUGGCUGGAAAUAAACUUCUCCAUGCAGUGUGCAUAUGAUAAUAAGUCAAAAGAAUGCUAUGUGAAGUUCUCCUCAGCCUUAGAGAUUCACAGAUAUUCAAGAGCACAGUGUCCAUGGUUUGCAGGUAUCACUUCUUUGAUCCUGGAGAUUUUUAAGUCUCUGGCUCCAUCCCAGCUGUCUCCUUGACCUCAUCUGUUUGUGGAGCCCGCUGCCCAGCAGGGAUAGCAGGAGUGGUCUUGAUGUUGAGAGGAAGGGUCCCUUCACCUAGGAUAUGGGUGCCUCAGAAGAGACUCCUCCCUUUUUAUUGCCCUACCUGUGUAAAUGUAACUAAGACUGUAAAUGGUGCUGUAUUGGUGUGUGGCUACUGGCCACAGGCUUUUAAAUAGACUCUAAGUGUUGAUGUUCUAGCACCCUGAAUGAUUCUAAGAUGAUUGAGUAAACAUCCUAAUUUUUAAAUAAUCAA
Non-coding RNA from Ictidomys tridecemlineatus (thirteen-lined ground squirrel), 1006 nucleotides. NCBI's taxonomy places the organism in Eukaryota, Metazoa, Chordata, Mammalia, Rodentia, Sciuridae. The record is from RefSeq and is a predicted model, not a curated record.